This 29-nucleotide non-coding RNA is filed under the name Homo sapiens (human). The record is from RNAcentral. Lineage: Eukaryota; Metazoa; Chordata; Mammalia; Primates; Hominidae.
UGACUUCACUUUGGAAGAGAUUGCAGCCU